UGGGCGAAACCAGCUACAUCAUUUACAUGAACUAGGUUUAAUCAAUUUACUUGACCCGUGUUCAGAAUUUUAAAUUUGUUUUGUAGAAUAGUGUCAUUUCAACUGACUUGAGGCAGUGCAUCUUCCGGGUUCAAUAACCAAUGUGUGCACCUAAGCCAUAAAGUGAUUAAAAAUUGCCAUGCAAUGCAUUGUCAUCCGUGCGUUUUAAUUUUCCUUGUCGUUGUAAUAAUAGGUCGAAUAAUGUGUCAUGUCAUUUAAAAAUGGCAUGAAAUAGUAUUCAUGAACAUGAAAAGCUGGACUUAUGUUAUGUUCGAGCAAAUGUUUGUUAGUAGGCCUAACAUAUUUGAUCCAGGUUUUUUUUGCAGUUUUUUUUGCAGGAUCAACUCAGGCUUACAGUGUAUACAUCAACCGCUUAUUAAUAUUAGCCUGUUGAGGAUAUAUAUUUUUUAUUAUUAUAAUACAUAUAUAAAUGACAUAUUUGUCAAUAAUUCCCUGCUGCACUACAUUUUUGCGAGGCCAGUGAAAAUGUACAUUUUUGGCAUUUAGACAUGUUCUCUAAGUAUCACCUGUAUCACCUAACACCAUAUUUGCAAUUAAAACCCAGCAUAUUUGUUUUUUUAUUUUGAAUAAUGAUCAUUUAGGGACAGUGUCGUCGACACUAAAAUAUACAUGAGGUUGUAUGCAUGUUUGUGUUUAUUUGAUAAAUGGCAAAGCAUUGUUAGCCUGAAAAAGUUAUCUUGAUUAAUUAAAAUACACAUUCGAAAUAUCCUAAUUUCCGUGGAUAAAGUAAAUAUUUUCUGAUCAACAAUUGGUUUUAGUUAUUUUAUAUGAAUACACAAAUUGGACCGUGUUUUUUGGUCCUGCUAUUUCAAUGAAAAUAAACAUUUCGUCAUUGCAACGGCACAUCAACAUAAGGCAGUGUACGAAUGAACCUGCUCUUACAUUUGGCCGACAUUAUACCACUUUAAGGUGCAAUUAAAUGUUUCAUUCGUUUCUUACUUCGUCAUGUGUCAUAUUAGUGAUCAGUAUUUAGUGAUCUUGCUACAGAAGGAGAAGUAUAUUGACAAAAGGAAAAAGAUUAACACCUUAUGGAGAACAUUAAUGAUUUGCCUUGUAUAUACCCAAAGAACUAAUUAUAUGAACAAAGGUCUAAAUUAGGCUCAAUUUUUUUUCUCGAGGCCCUGGAUGUACACAUUAUCUAAAUGGGAAAGAAAGCAAUCAAACGUAGUAGGCUAUAUCACAGUAGGCUACUUGCUUGACUUAACCGACGUUCAUGCCAGGCGCUUUUCUCGCACAAAAGUUACCGGUUUUUUAAAUUUGUUUUUUUUUAGUUUUUAUUUUUUAUUUUUUAUAGCUAACCUAAUGUUAACAACGGAGUGUUGAUCUUUUUUUCCAGCGAAGGGAACGAUUUAAUUAAACUUCCUAUGUAAGGUUAAUCAACUUUUUCUGGGGUAAAUGUGGCCGUUGCCUGUUGUUCAUUGAAUUCAUUCUCGGUGCUUUGGAGUUCAGGUAAUGUGUAUAAUAUUUGUUGUGCGAUAUUGACGAAGAAGAAGAUUGUUGACAGAGAGUGGAAUGCAUAUAGGCCUACUACAGUGUUUGUAACUGUAAAACAAGAGGCACGGCUCGGUAGAUACAAAAUACGUCACUGGAAUGGCCUGUGAAAACAACUUGCAAAAACUGUAGGUGCAUUAAAACACGGACCAGUGCACGGUACCAAAAGAAGAGUAAAGUGACCCACGCGCCACUAAUGGCGCUGGCGCUGUAACAUAAAAACACAGGGGAAGGCUAUCUUAAUGCAGAUUUGUCCUUGUAUUAUUGUUUUUUCUUUCUCCUUUGCAUUGUUACUUUUCAUCUCUUCAUCAGGUCUUCCAAUCUCUUUGCAUCAUCUCCCCUACUAUAUUUAUCCUGUAGACAGAGGCCUUGGCGCCAGACCGUUUAAGACCUGUCAAAGUCCUUCAUAUUUCCCCGUCACAUGUAUACCCUAAGACUCUACUAGCCCUACCAGCCCCCUCACCCUCCUCUCCUCCUCAUUCACCCUUUUUGCACUGCCCCCGCCCCUGGCUCUUCUCUCCCCCAGCCUGCUUAUAGUCAUCCAUGUUUCCCCUUCUCUCAUUAAUCCUUCGGUUCACCUCUGUGUUUGCGAACCGGUACAAUUUGCUCUUCUUUGUGGCUGUGUUGUCUCAGUGACCCAAAUCAGCGGGGCUGCCGCUGCCGUGUCCUUGCCGGUUGAACAAAUUGCAACUGAUUGAUGAAAAAUAACAAUUCUCCCAAACAGCAAGAGCUGAAACUGCGAACGCUCCCCUCCCGUUCGGCUACUGCCUUUCACACGCGUUAUGCAGGUUCAGUGAAUGCCAAUCUCAUACCCAUAUAGUAGACUCUCUCUCUCUCUCUCUCUCUCUCUCUCUCUCUCUCUCUCUCUCUCUCUCUCUCACUCCCAAUUAAUUUUAAAAAUAAGUUAAAAUAUUUAAAAUGUGAUACCUCUAGCGGUCUACAAAAAAACCUGUUGAAACCGCGCGUCAUAUAGGCAUGUUUCUGCAGGUAUCAGGUGGGGGCGCUAAAAUGUGUCUUUGGGGACUGAAGAAGGUACUCGUUGCCCGAGCCAGCGUUGACAAUCAUAAUCGUGCCGGAGAGAGCGAUGAAGCCCUAGACAGGAAGUUGUCAAAUGAAGGAUGCUGUCCUCCUCCCAUCAAAAACUAGAGUGGGCGGUGCCCCUGCAGCGACCGAGCUGACCAGUUUUAGGGAGAACGUGUGCGUGCAGGCACAGAGGACCGACAUCCCUUUCUAAAAGGAGAGCCCUCCCCAGUGCCCUCAUUCACAGCCAGAGGAGGCGAAGCGAGGCUCAUAACAGUGAUGUUCGCUAACCCUCUUUCUUUUAUUGCCGCGCAGUAGAGAUCUGUUAGCGUCUAUCCGCCUGGCUCUGCGACGUCUACGCUUCUCACACAGGAGGUCUUCCGGCCACACUGGAGCACACACACACACACACGAGCUUAAAACAAAAGCUCCUUUUAGCAGUGCUCUCUGUCUUAAGGGUCACAUGACUAGCAUCGCCCCCGCGGCGGUACAGGAAGGUUUGGGAGGGCGUUAGCAAACUGCAUUGUAACGGAACCAUUGACCCGGGGUCAUUUUCCAUAAAAUGAAUUUGCUGGAAGUGGUGGGGUGAGGAUCACGUUGGGUUGAGAUAGAUGGGCCUCGAUGAAUGCUUAGAAGAACCUCUCAAAGAUGGCAGUACAGGAGGGGGGUGUGGUUUACGGAAAAAGAGGCGGAGUUUGAGGGUAAGUCUCAGAGGGAAGAAUUAAUGAGCAGACCUGUAGCCGCUUCUCAAUUUUAGAACUGAGGGGGGAGAGAGUUUCUUCCUUACAGAUACUGUAUCCGUACACUCGUCCCAUUGUGAAAAUGCCCUUUGUCAGUUUAGGAGGCAUAAACUAGUGUGUGUGUCCUCCAAAACAUGCACUCAGCAAACUGCUCCUUGUCUUUCCGACCUGCCAGCCCAUGCCAUCAAAACUACUGCAAUAGAGGCAGUUCGAGGCAGUUUGACUGCGAUUAGUUGGCUGGGGGAGCUGCUGUGGAGCGGUGAGUUCCGGGUAAACCUUGCAGAAUUAAUCCGUCCACCCCCGAGUAAUGCCAUAAGCACCUGUCCAUCGCCACACCAGCAGCCCGGGCUGUUUGGGCUACAAUCAGUUUUUCCUCUUUUAAUCACUAUACAGAGCAGUUAUUGGUGUUUGUUAUUAAAUGACUUCUGAAGGCUUCCUUAAUGUUUUUACUGUGGCCUUCUUGACAUGACUAGUACAUGAAAGGUAUACCGCUUCAUUUUAGUCGCUUAUGGACUCGACGCAAAUAGGACCCUCAUGUUUCCUGAAGCCUACGAGGAUAGGCUGCAGGAAGUGGAGCAAAAUAAGACACUUUAUAUUCUGUUUCUUUUGAAUAAUUAAAAAAUACAAUUCUUAAAAAAUGUGAAA
Molecule: long non-coding RNA, 3956 nt
Organism: Anguilla rostrata (American eel)
Lineage: Eukaryota; Metazoa; Chordata; Actinopteri; Anguilliformes; Anguillidae
Exons: 3
Source: RefSeq, a predicted model, not a curated record